GAGUUUGAUCCUGGCUCAGGACGAACGCUGGCGGCGUGCUUAACACAUGCAAGUCGAGCGGUAAGGCCCCUUCGGGGGUACACGAGCGGCGAACGGGUGAGUAACACGUGGGUGAUCUGCCCUGCACUUCGGGAUAAGCCUGGGAAACUGGGUCUAAUACCGGAUAUGACCAAAGGCUGCAUGGCUUUUGGUGGAAAGGUUUACUGGUGCGGGAUGGGCCCGCGGCCUAUCAGCUUGUUGGUGGGGUAAUGGCCUACCAAGGCGACGACGGGUAGCCGACCUGAGAGGGUGACCGGCCACACUGGGACUGAGACACGGCCCAGACUCCUACGGGAGGCAGCAGUGGGGAAUAUUGCACAAUGGGCGAAAGCCUGAUGCAGCGACGCCGCGUGAGGGAUGACGGCCUUCGGGUUGUAAACCUCUUUCAGCAAGGACGAAGCGAAAGUGACGGUACCUGCAGAAGAAGCACCGGCCAACUACGUGCCAGCAGCCGCGGUAAUACGUAGGGUGCGAGCGUUGUCCGGAAUUACUGGGCGUAAAGAGCUCGUAGGCGGUUUGUCGCGUCGUCUGUGAAAAUCAGCAGCUCAACUGCUGGCUUGCAGGCGAUACGGGCAGACUUGAGUACUGCAGGGGAGACUGGAAUUCCUGGUGUAGCGGUGAAAUGCGCAGAUAUCAGGAGGAACACCGGUGGCGAAGGCGGGUCUCUGGGCAGUAACUGACGCUGAGGAGCGAAAGCGUGGGUAGCGAACAGGAUUAGAUACCCUGGUAGUCCACGCCGUAAACGGUGGGCGCUAGGUGUGGGUUUCCUUCCACGGGAUCCGUGCCGUAGCUAACGCAUUAAGCGCCCCGCCUGGGGAGUACGGCCGCAAGGCUAAAACUCAAAGGAAUUGACGGGGGCCCGCACAAGCGGCGGAGCAUGUGGAUUAAUUUCGAUGCAACGCGAAGAACCCUUACCUGGGUUUGACAUAUACCGGGAAAGCCGUAGAGAUACGCCCCCCUUGUGUCGGG
This 1008-nucleotide ribosomal RNA is filed under the name Rhodococcus sp. (in: high G+C Gram-positive bacteria). RNAcentral's name for it is "bacterial SSU rRNA". It matches the Rfam family "Bacterial small subunit ribosomal RNA", at positions 9 to 1026 of the family's 1533-position model. The record is from RNAcentral. Lineage: Bacteria; Bacillati; Actinomycetota; Actinomycetes; Mycobacteriales; Nocardiaceae.